This 483-nucleotide ribosomal RNA is filed under the name uncultured bacterium. RNAcentral's name for it is "partial 16S ribosomal RNA". It matches the Rfam family "Bacterial small subunit ribosomal RNA", at positions 28 to 523 of the family's 1533-position model. The record is from RNAcentral.
GACGAACGCUGGCGUCGUGCUUAACACAUGCAAGUCGAACGAUGAAGCUGGAGCUUGCUCCGGUGGAUUAGUGGCGAACGGGUGAGUAACACGUGAGCAAUCUGCCCUUGACUCUGGGAUAACUGCGGGAAACUGUAGCUAAUACCGGAUAUGAGGCUCGAAGGCAUCUUCGGGUCUGGAAAGAAUUUCGGUCAAGGAUGAGCUCGCGGCCUAUCAGCUUGUUGGUGAGAUAAUGGCUCACCCAGGCGACGACGGGUAGCCGGCCUGAGAGGGUGACCGGCCAGACUGGGACUGAGACACGGCCCAGACUCCUACGGGAGGCAGGAGUGGGGAAUAUUGCACAAUGGGCGAAAGCCUGAUGCAGCAACGCCGCGUGAGGGAUGAAGGCCUUCGGGUUGUAAACCUCUUUGAGCAGGGAAGAAGCGAAAGUGACGGUACCUGCAGAAAAAGCACCGGCUAACUACGUGCCAGCCGCCGCCGUAA